This 708-nucleotide long non-coding RNA is filed under the name Prunus dulcis (almond). Its description in RNAcentral is "sRNA ncRNA". The record is from RNAcentral. Lineage: Eukaryota; Viridiplantae; Streptophyta; Magnoliopsida; Rosales; Rosaceae.
ACACGGAUGCCAAACCAGUUGACAGAGAGAAGUCCUCAUCCACAACCGAUAGAGAUGCAUAUGACUCUACCGAUCCCUACUGCAUACACCACUCAGAUCAUCCCGCCAUGGUAUUGGCUUCCAUGACACUGACCGGUGAUAACUACAGCACUUGGAGUCGUAAAGUACGAAUUUCCUUGAGUGCGAAAAACAAAACAGGCUUUAUUGAUGGGUCCAUUGUGAAGCCAUCCCUCCCCAAAAAACCUACAGAGUAUCAACGAUGGCAGAGGUGUAACGACAUGAUCUUGUCGUGGAUUCUCAAUUCUUUGGAUCCUGACCUUGCUAAUAGUGUUAUUUAUGCUGAGACAGCUCAUGAAGUAUGGACUGAUUUAAAAGAACGAUUUUCACAAAGCAACGCUCUUAGGAUUUUUCAGAUUCAACGCACCUAGGAUUUUUCAGAUUCAACGCAGCAUAGCAACACAUACGCAAGAUCAGAUGCCUCUGGCAACAUAUUAUUCAAAACUAAAGAGCUAUUGGGACGAACUGGGUUCCUACAAUGAUACAGAAGUUUGCUCCUGUGGAGCAAAGAAGUCGUUGGCCAAGCGCGAGGAACAACAACGCUUGAUGCAAUUUUUGAUGGGACUAAAUGAAUCCUAUGCAGCGAUCCGAGGGCAGAUUCUCCUUAUGGAGCCCUUGCCAUCAGUUAGAAGGGCAUAUUCCCUACUUUCA